Non-coding RNA from Camelina sativa (false flax), 939 nucleotides. Lineage: Eukaryota; Viridiplantae; Streptophyta; Magnoliopsida; Brassicales; Brassicaceae. The record is from RefSeq and is a predicted model, not a curated record.
UUCAAUUUGAAUGUCUCACUUAUCAAUGUUGUUUGGUUUCCUAAUUAGGUUGAAUUUGUGUUGGUUUCGGUGAGUUGGGUAUAUAUUCCAGUUUGAUGAAGCUUAAAUUAUCAGAAAUAGGAAAAUCUUUAUGGUUACACUUUCGAUUGUUGUUUGAUGGCUAGCUAAUUUUCUCACUAAUCAAUGUCCUGUGGAAAGUUUUAUGAAAGAAUCAGAUUAUUUUCUUUGCCGUUAAAGUCCAUGUGCUUCUCUCUAUGUAGUUAGUUCAUAUAUCAAUGGAUAAUUGGUUGUUUUUCUUGUUUCUGGAUCCAGAUAUGAGAUUACUCUUAGAGUGCUGUUCACGGCAUUGCUUAUCCUCCAGUAUGAGUGUCUCCGGUGCUGCAGUUGGUUCAGGUUAUUAGCUGCAUCUCCACAGUGUCUCUGGUGUUCUUUACUCAGGAUUCUCAUUUUUUUUUCGUGGUUUCCUUUUUCUUUGAUUGUCUUAACAGUUGUUGUAUUGUAGGAAUCAUUGAAUAGACCGCGUUGUAAAGCCAUCCACUUAACUGAGAUUGAUACAAGUGUUGACUGUGAUACAUUUAUUCCCCUUGUUGACACUUCUGCAUAUCAACCUUGGUGUCUUAAAAAACGAUAGGACAGGGACUGGCACAUUAUCUAAAUUCGGCUCUCAGGAAUUUUCCACUUCUGACGACUAAGGUGCUUCUAUAUGGAGGACAAGUGGUUUCUUGGAGAAAUUAAAGGAGAGAGCAGUUGCUUUAUAUGAGCACCAAGGCGCAACUAAAACCACCCAAGGCCAUCAGGAGAGGUUUACCUGUCUGCUUUCCACAGCUAUGUUUCAAAAGCACAAAUCUAGCUGAGAUUCAAGACUGCUGCAGGGAAGGAUAGUGUGUUCAUCUACUUUUUUUUAUUAUUAUGUUUUUUUAGGAGUAUCACUACAGUUUU